AACAUACAAGUAAUGAUAAAGAGAGAACAUCUAUCUAUUACAUUCAUUCAGCCUUUAUAAUAUAAUUUGAUUAUACAUUAAACUUCUAAACAUAAUAUAAAGCUUACAUCUUCCAAAAUAUAAACAUUAACUUCCAUUCAUUCCAGAAUAUCUCACAUCCUAUACAUCAUCUACUCUCAAAGCAUAUAAAGCUGACUCUAAUGCAGAAAU
RNAcentral lists this long non-coding RNA (210 nucleotides) under Ananas comosus (pineapple). Its description in RNAcentral is "long non-coding RNA (ACOM_LNC039588)". The record is from RNAcentral. Lineage: Eukaryota; Viridiplantae; Streptophyta; Magnoliopsida; Poales; Bromeliaceae.